Molecule: long non-coding RNA, 250 nt
Organism: Dermacentor silvarum
Lineage: Eukaryota; Metazoa; Arthropoda; Arachnida; Ixodida; Ixodidae
Exons: 4
Source: RefSeq, a predicted model, not a curated record
GCACCUUUAACGUUCCCGAGCAGCCAUCAUAAAGGGGGUUCUGCAUGCAUUUAGCCCGCACGAUGCCCGUGAAGAAAGGUGUGUCUAUGAAGAUGACUGCCUCCAGCAAGCAGUGUACAGUCCGAGGAGCUCCUCCAAAGUUACAGAAUACAAUUGGUUUUACGAAGAUGAUAGUACUUGAGGAAGAAAUUGAGUUCGAAGUGAUAGACAAAAGUGGGACCACAAUCGCUCUAAAGGCUCCAGAGCGCCG